CCCUAAUGCUAAUUGCAUGGAAAAGCUCAGUUGACGGGUUUAAAACCCUAAUGCUGGCUAAAUGGAAAAAAGUUCAGUUUAGGGUUUAAAACCCUAAUGCUGAUUGCAUGGAAAAGCUCAAUUUAGGGUUUAAAACCCUAAUGCUGGCUAAAGGAAAAAAGUUCAGUUUAGGGUUUAAAACCCUAAUGCUGGCUGAAUGGAAAAAAGUUCAGUUUAGGGUUUAAAACCCUAAUGCUGACUAAAGGAAGAAGUUCAGUUUAGGGUUUAAAACCCUAAUGCUGAUUGCAUGAAAAAGCUCAGUUUAGGGUUUAAAACCCUAAUGAUGGCUAAAUGGAAAAAAGUUCAUUUUUAGCGUUUAAAACCCUAAUGCUGACUAAAGGAAGAAGUUCAGUUUAGGGUUUAAAACCCUAAGGCUGAUUGCAUGGAAAAGCUCAGUUUAGGGUUUAAAACCCUAAUGCUGGCUAAAUGGAAAAAAGUUCAGUUUAGGGAUUAAACCCUAAUGCUGAUUAAAGGAAAAAGUUCAGUUUAGGUUUUAAAACCCUAAUGCUGACUGAAUGGAAAAAAGUUCAGUUUAGGGUUUAAAACACUAAUGCUGACUAAAGGAAAAAUUCAGUUUAGGGUUUAAAACCCUAAUGAUGAUUGCAUGGAAAAGCUUAGUUUAGGGUUUAAAACCCUAAUGCUGGCUGAAUGGAAAAAAGUUCAGUUUAGGGUUUAAAACCCUAAUGCUGAUUGCAGGAAAAAGUUCAGUUUAGGGUUUAAAACCCUAAUGCUGACUAAAGGAAAAGUUCAGUUUAGGGUUUAAAACCCUAAUGCUGACUGAAAGGAAAGAGUUCAGUUUAGGGUUUAAAACCCUAAUGCUGAUUGCAUGGAAAAGCUCAGUUUAGGUUUAAAACCCUAAUGCUGACUAAAUGGAAAAGUUCAGUUUAGGGUUUAAAACCCUAAUGCUAACUGAAAGGAAAAGUUCAGUUUAGGGUUUAAAACCCUAAUGCUGACUGAAUGGAAAAAGUUCAGUUUAGGGUUUAAAACCCUAAUGCUGACUAAAUGGAAAAAGUUCAGUUUAGGGUUUAAAACCCUAAUGCUGACUAAAUGGAAAAGUUCAGUUUAGGGUUUUAAAACCCUAAUGCUGACUAAAGGAUAGAGUUCAGUUUAGGGUUUAAAACCCUAAUGCUGACUGAAUGGAAAAAGUUCAGUUUAGGGUUUAAAACCCUAAUGCUGACUAAAUGGAAAAAGUUCAAUUUAGGGUUUAAAACCCUAAUGCUGACUAAAGGAAAGAGUUCAGUUUAGGGUUUAAAACCCUAAUGCUGACUAAAGGGAGAGUUCAGUUUAGGGUUUAAAACCCUAAUGCUGACUAAAGGAUAGAGUUCAGUUUAGGGUUUAAAAUCCUAAUGCUGACUGAAUGGAAAAAGUCUACGUUAGGGUUAAACCCUAAUGCUGACUGAAUGGAAAAGUUCAAUUAGGGUUUAAAACCCUAAUGCUGA
RNAcentral lists this long non-coding RNA (1478 nucleotides) under Nicotiana tabacum (common tobacco). Its description in RNAcentral is "long non-coding RNA (NTAB_LNC010296)". Lineage: Eukaryota; Viridiplantae; Streptophyta; Magnoliopsida; Solanales; Solanaceae. The record is from RNAcentral.